RNAcentral lists this ribosomal RNA (512 nucleotides) under uncultured bacterium. RNAcentral describes it as "bacterial SSU rRNA". It matches the Rfam family "Bacterial small subunit ribosomal RNA", at positions 17 to 518 of the family's 1533-position model. The record is from RNAcentral.
UCCUGGCUCAGGAUGAACGCUAGCGGCAGGCCUAAUACAUGCAAGUCGUACGGGAUCCCCGUCCCUCGGGAGGGGGUGAGAGUGGCGGACGGGUGCGUUACGCGUAUGCAACCAACCCCCCGACGGGCGUACAGCCGGUGGAAACGCCGGGUGAUGCGCCAUGCGGCCUCGGGAGGGCAUCCUCCUGAGGCGAAAGCCUACGGGCGGCCGGGGACGGGCAUGCGUGCCAUUAGCUAGUCGGCGGGGCGACGGCCCACCGAGGCUACGAUGGCUAGGGGAUCUGAGAGGACGGUCCCCCACACUGGUACUGAGACACGGACCAGACUCCUGCGGGAGGCAGCAGUAAGGGAUAUUGGGCAAGUGGGGGGAACCCUGACCCAGCCAUCGCCGCGUGAGGGAAUGAGGCCCUACGGGUCGUGAACCUCUUUUGCCGGGGACAACCGCGGAGUCGCGAACUCCGCCUGCCGGGUACCCGGCGAAUAAGCAUCGGCUAACUCCGUGCCAGCCGCUGC